This 459-nucleotide ribosomal RNA is filed under the name uncultured bacterium. RNAcentral's name for it is "partial 16S ribosomal RNA". It matches the Rfam family "Bacterial small subunit ribosomal RNA", at positions 338 to 795 of the family's 1533-position model. The record is from RNAcentral.
CCUACGGGUGGCUGCAGUGAGGAAUAUUGGUCACUGGGAGAGAUCCUGAACCAGCCAAGCCGCGUGAGGGAAGACGGCCCUAUGGGUUGUAAACCUCUUUUGUCGGAGAACAAAACCCGGUACGUGUCCCGGACUGCGCGUAUCCGAUGAAAAAGCAUCGGCUAACUCCGUGCCAGCACCCGCGGUAAUACGUGGGAUGCGAGCGUUUUCCGGAUUUAUUGGUGUGAAAGGCGGCGUCGGGGGUCCGUGACGUCAGCGGGAAAAGUGCGGGGCUCAACCCCGGGGAGCCGUUGAAACUGGCAGACUUGAGUGGGCGAGAGGUACGCGGAAUGCGCGGUGUAGCGGUGAAAUGCAUAGAUAUCGCGCAGAACUCCGAUUGCGAAGGCAGCGUACCGGCGCCAGACUGACGCUGAGGCACGAAAGCGUGGGGAUCGAACAGGAUUAGAUACCCUUGUAGUC